Molecule: ribosomal RNA, 603 nt
Filed under: uncultured cyanobacterium
Lineage: Bacteria; Bacillati; Cyanobacteriota
Description: bacterial SSU rRNA
Rfam family: Bacterial small subunit ribosomal RNA
Source: RNAcentral
UAGUUUGAUCAUGGCUCAGGAUGAACGCUGGCGGCGUGCUUAACACAUGCAAGUCGAACGAACCUUCGGGUUAGUGGCGGACGGGUGAGUAACGCGUGAGAAUCUGCCCUCAGGAGGGGGACAACAGCUGGAAACGGCUGCUAAUACCCCAUAUGCCGCGAGGUGAAAUGAAUUUCGCCUGAGGAUGAGCUCGCGUCUGAUUAGCUAGUUGGUGUAGGUAAUGGCUCACCAAGGCAUCGAUCAGUAGCUGGUCUGAGAGGAUGAUCAGCCACACUGGGACUGAGACACGGCCCAGACUCCUACGGGAGGCAGCAGUGGGGAAUUUUCCGCAAUGGGCGAAAGCCUGACGGAGCAACGCCGCGUGAGGGAUGAAGGCCUCUGGGCUGUAAACCUCUUUUAUCAAGGAAGAAGAUCUGACGGUACUUGAUGAAUAAGCCACGGCUAAUUCCGUGCCAGCAGCCGCGGUAAUACGGGAGUGGCAAGCGUUAUCCGGAAUUAUUGGGCGUAAAGCGUCCGCAGGCGGCCCUUCAAGUCUGCUGUUAAAAAGUGGAGCUUAACUCCAUCAUGGCAGUGGAAACUGUUGGGCUUGAGUGUGGUAGGGGC